UCCGUAGGUGAACCUGCGGAAGGAUCAUUAACGAGUUUGACAUGGGUUGAUGCUGGCCUUCCGAGGCAUGUGCUCACCCUGCUCAUCCACAUACCCCUGUGCACCUUUGUGGCGGGUUUAGGCCCGAAAGGGUCGAGCCAACUACGUUUUUUUACACACGCUCAGUUUAGAAUGUAACUUGCUAUAAACGCAUUAAAUAUAACUUUCAACAACGGAUCUCUUGGCUCUCGCAUCGAUGAAGAACGCAGCGAAAUGCGAUAAGUAAUGUGAAUUGCAGAAUUCAGUGAAUCAUCGAAUCUUUGAACGCACCUUGCGCUCCUUGGUAUUCCGAGGAGCAUGCCUGUUUGAGUGUCAUGAAUAUCUCAACCCAACAGUUUUGUAAUGAGAACUGAAGGGCUUGGACUUGGAGGCUUUGCCGGCGCUUGUCGGCUCCUCUCUAAAUUCAUUAGCUGAGUCUUUCGAGACGUAGCCUCGGUGUGAUAAUUGUCUACGCCGUGUGUUUGCGUUCUUGCUUGCGCCACCUGCUUUUGCAGUUGUUGGUGGGGGGAGACUUCUGGGGGCUUCUAAUCGGUCUUCGGGAC
RNAcentral lists this ribosomal RNA (581 nucleotides) under uncultured fungus. Its description in RNAcentral is "eukaryotic LSU rRNA". The stretch from base 201 to 354 matches the Rfam family "5.8S ribosomal RNA". Lineage: Eukaryota; Fungi. The record is from RNAcentral.